This 451-nucleotide ribosomal RNA is filed under the name uncultured Fibrobacter sp. RNAcentral's name for it is "partial 16S ribosomal RNA". It matches the Rfam family "Bacterial small subunit ribosomal RNA", at positions 341 to 792 of the family's 1533-position model. Lineage: Bacteria; Pseudomonadati; Fibrobacterota; Fibrobacteria; Fibrobacterales; Fibrobacteraceae. The record is from RNAcentral.
ACGGGAGGCAGCAGUGAGGGAUAUUGCACAAUGGGGGGAACCCUGAUGCAGCAACGCCACGUGUGGGAAGAAGCAUUUCGGUGUGUAAACCACUGUCGUGAGGGAAUAAUGCUUGGCUCCGGCCAAGUUGAAUGUACCUCGAAAGGAAGCACCGGCAAACUUCGUGCCAGCAGCCGCGGUAAUACGAGGGGUGCAAGCGUUGUUCGGAAUCACUGGGCGUAAAGGGAGCGCAGGCGGAGAUGCAAGCGGUCUGUACAAUCCCGGGGCCUAACCCCGGACCUGCAGACCGGACUGUUUCUCUUGGAUAGCUCAGGGGCUGGCGGAAUUCCUGGUGUAGCGGUGGAAUGCGUAGAGAUCAGGAAGAACACCGAUGGCGAAGGCAGCCAGCUGGGGACUCAUCGACGCUGAGGCUCGAAAGUGCGGGUAGCAAACAGGAUUAGAUACCCUGGUA